CCAUCUGGAAGAAUCUGGAGACAGGUGCUGCGUGGCUGUCGUCAGCUCGUGUCGUGAGAUGUUGGGUUAAGUCCCGCAACGAGCGCAACCCUUGCCUUUAGUUGCCAGCAGUUCGGCGUGGGCACUCUAAAGGGACUGCCGGUGUUAAACCGGAGGAAGGUGGGGACGACGUCAAGUCCUCAUGGCCUUUAUGACCAGGGCUACACACGUACUACAAUGGCCGAUACAAAGGGCAGCGACACUGCGAGGUGAAGCCAAUCCCGUAAAAUCGGUCUCAGUCCGGAUUGGAGUCUGCAACUCGACUCCAUGAAGUUGGAAUCGCUAGUAAUCGUGGAUCAGCAUGCCACGGUGAAUACGUUCCCGGGCCUU
RNAcentral lists this ribosomal RNA (369 nucleotides) under uncultured Desulfobulbus sp. RNAcentral's name for it is "bacterial SSU rRNA". It matches the Rfam family "Bacterial small subunit ribosomal RNA", at positions 1013 to 1382 of the family's 1533-position model. The record is from RNAcentral. Lineage: Bacteria; Pseudomonadati; Thermodesulfobacteriota; Desulfobulbia; Desulfobulbales; Desulfobulbaceae.